GCCUCUAUAGCUCAGUGGUAGAGCACUUGUUUCGUAAACAAGGUGUCGGGAGUUCAAUCCUCCCUAGAGGCU
RNAcentral lists this transfer RNA (72 nucleotides) under Candidatus Pacearchaeota archaeon. RNAcentral's name for it is "tRNA-Thr". It matches the Rfam family "tRNA". Rfam says of the family: Transfer RNA (tRNA) molecules are approximately 80 nucleotides in length. Their secondary structure includes four short double-helical elements and three loops (D, anti-codon, and T loops). Further hydrogen bonds mediate the characteristic L-shaped molecular structure. tRNAs have two regions of fundamental functional importance: the anti-codon, which is responsible for specific mRNA codon recognition, and the 3' end, to which the tRNAs corresponding amino acid is attached (by aminoacyl-tRNA synthetases). tRNAs cope with the degeneracy of the genetic code in two manners: having more than one tRNA (with a specific anti-codon) for a particular amino acid; and 'wobble' base-pairing, i.e. permitting non-standard base-pairing at the 3rd anti-codon position. Lineage: Archaea; Nanobdellati. The record is from RNAcentral.